CCUUUCAACGGUUGCCUGGCCUGAUGUUUUUUUACUGUCACAAUAUAACAUCGGUUCACGUCUUGUGACUUCACUAAGCAAGUGGGGGGAUGGGCUACACAAACUUUCUAACAAAUGACACAGGGAAUUGCAGCAACUGAAACAUGGGAUGUUUUGAUUUUUUUUUGUUACCUUGUUCCGUGAAACGGUGUGAUUGAAAGCGAAUAUAUUCUGGACGUGGCUAUUGACAAUCACCAAAUAGGGUCGGUCAAAGACACCGUCCACUUGAAUGAUUUCUUGGCCCAGCGCUCCGGUCCCAUUUUCCGAUGGCAGGAGGCAGCUCAGGAGAAAGGCAUUCCCUAGGAACAUCCAGCUCGCCCGUGUCCGACUCCACACCGGCCGCAUCGAACCACCUUCGGACCUCAGAAAAUCCAGCAGCAUAUUACAGCGAAAACAACAAACAGCACAAUAGCCCGGGCUGUGUGGUGUUGGAAGCAGAUCCACCGGCCGGUCUGAUACAACGGGGAGAUUGCUAGGUCAAUAAAAAGCCAUCUCACCGACAGAGUCCAGAGCUGGAUGUCGGAGCUUCAGCAACAAGCGGCCCCUCUGUAAACAUAUACUGACUAGCGAGGAGUUGACGUCACCCGUCAAGCAACCUGCCCUCCCAUCUCUUCAGUUCCUACCCUCGGUUGGAAUAUCUUCAUUUUAUAUUGGUCCAGCUGCUUCCUCCGCAAGCUUCCUCCGAGGACAGUGCUGGUGCUUUUCGAUUUUCUGUUGUACCAGGCUCAAAUAUAUUUAGAUCCUUUUUAUUUUGUUUUGGCACAUACGUUCCCCUGGAAAAAUCGUUGGAAAUUUUACAUCACAAAGUUGCUCAAUGAUUCAUGUAUUUUGCCCUGUGAUUCUUUCCAGUUUGUGUCUAUCAAGCGUUAAGCUGAAAUCCAACCGGGAAUUCUGGGUUUCUCCGUGUACAGCCCUGAUGGAUCCCUUCCCCUCUUUAAACAGUCACUCUUUCUAAUGAGUGGAAUCCUUAAUUCUUGAAUGGGACAUCUUCUACUCCAGCCUUUCCCAGUUCACCAAAGUGAACCCUGACUGUCCUUCCCUAAAUUUUACACAGUCAUGCCUUCAAUAUGUGUCCUGGGUGCAUAUCUUAAACUGAAUGAUGUAAACUUGAUGAACAUGACCCAUUCCAUCAUUGUAAUUUCAUCAGUGCUAGCCAUCUGAGCUAUCUGGUCUCCCCAGCAUCCCUGACUUGAUCACUUCACCGUAAGCAACUGUGACUUCAGCUGCCUGAGCCCAAAGCUUUGAAAAUUGGUCCCCAAACUCGCUCGGCCUUGCCUCCUUUAAGAUGCUCCUUAAAACCAGUCUCUUUAAACAAAUCUUUGAUUAUCUCAUUGAGUGUACUCAAGACAGAGUUAGCUAGGCUCUUGAUUAAUAAGGGGAUUGAAGGUUAAGGGGAGAAGGCAGGAGCAUGGAUUUGAGAAACAAAUCAGCUGUGAUUGAAUGGCAGAGCAAAUGUCAUGGGCUGAAUGGAAAAAUGGUGUUCCUGUAUCUUAUUGUCUUAGAAGCCACAAGUUUUGUGGUGUACUCCCCACUUGCCUGGAUGGUGCAGCUCUCCAACAACACUCAAGAAGCUUGACACUAUCCAUGACAAAGUAGUUUGCUUGAUUGGCACCGUAUCCACAAGCAUUCACUACCUCCCACACCAAUGCUCAAUAGCAACAGUGUAUAUUGUCUAUAAAAUGCACUGCAGAAAUUCACAAAAGAUCCAUAGAUCGCACCUUCCAAACACAAGGCCAGUUCCAUCUAGAAGAACAAGGGCAGCAGAUACAUAGGAAUACUACCAGCCUCGAGCUUCACUGCAAGCCACUCAUGAUCCUGACGUGCAAAUAUAUCACCAUUCCUGCAUUGUCAAUAUCUGGGAACUCCUUCCCUAUGGGCAUUAUGGAUCAACCUAUAGUAAGUGGACUGCAGUAGUUCAAGAAGGCAGCUCAUGCCAUCUUCUCAAGGGCAACUUGGGAUGGGCAUAAAUGCUGGCCCAGCAAACAAUGCCAUGUCCAAUGAAUGAAUCAAUCUACUUUACCAUCUCCUUCUGUCGGUCAGUUUCAAAUUUUGUUUGAUAACAACUGUGAAGUAUCUUGGAUAUUUUACAACGAUAAAGAGAUUAUGUAAAUGCAAAUUGUUGAUCAAGGUGUUGGGAACCAGGUUUUUGGGUAAAGUUAGGUAAGAUCCUUUGAACAUGGGAAAUAGGAGCAAAAGUUGAUCAUUUGGCCCCUCGAGCCUGCCCUGCCAUUCAAGAGGAUCAUGGCUGACUUGUUUGUGUUUGGAAUUUCACAUCCCAAUCAACCUCAAUAACCCUGAUUCCCCGGUUAAAAAAGAAAACUACCCAUCUGUGUCUUGAAAUAUUCAAUAUUCAAGAUCCAGUUUUCACUUGUUAUGGACCAGGACACAGCCCCUCAAAAUAUUUUGUAAAAGUCGCCUAGUCCCUAAAUAAAAUGUAAUUUCCCUUCCAGUGGUCAAAAACGCCCUUGACUGUAUCUCUCGUGUCUCCCACAUCUCAGCCCUCACACCCCCUCCCUGCAAUAACAACAGUAAUAGUAAGACCAGUAAUGUAGUUGUACUUACUGCUGUCUAAGGUUCAAUGGAGAUGUAGCUUUUACCUCUGAUAAUUAGACAGGACUUAGACACAAUAUAAACAAAGAAGGAUUGGUGGCAGCAAACAGCUCUUAUUCUGAAGCAUGUACUGGUAAAGAUGGCAGGUGCCAUGAGGUGUCAUUUGAUUCCUUUUCAAUUGCCCACGGAGCAAUUCAGUCUAUUCUAUUCUCCUGCUCUAUCCACAUAGUCCUGCAAGUCUAUUUCCUUCGACUGUGCAUGCAAUUCUCUUUUUGAAACAUCAAUUUUUUCCAUUCCCUCCACCUUUAUGGACAAUCAGCUCCAGGUCAUUACUACACAGUGAGUAAAAAUGUCAGCCAUGAACGAUAGAAGAGACUGGAGGGGCUGAAGGGCCUGAUCCUGACUCACUUUUACAUAAAAGCCCCUGCAUUGGAUAGUGGAAUAAGGUAUUAAGGAGGCUGUGAUUUUUAAAUUGUUUUAAGAUGAUCAAUUGUUGUUUGCAUGCCCUUAAUUUUUCGUGAUGAAUGUAAAACAAAAUUUACACCAAUUGCAAUAUGUAUAUCUUUAUCUUACUCAGGGCCCUAUGUGUUUUGGUUCAUGUGGAAUAAAGCAUCUUACAAAUCAA
Molecule: long non-coding RNA, 3214 nt
Organism: Stegostoma tigrinum
Lineage: Eukaryota; Metazoa; Chordata; Chondrichthyes; Orectolobiformes; Stegostomatidae
Exons: 2
Source: RefSeq, a predicted model, not a curated record